Molecule: long non-coding RNA, 559 nt
Filed under: Homo sapiens (human)
Lineage: Eukaryota; Metazoa; Chordata; Mammalia; Primates; Hominidae
Description: non-protein coding lnc-ITGA7-2:3
Source: RNAcentral
UGGAAAAUGGAGAAGCUGUGCUAAUAGAGGGGGGCCAGAAAUCCCCACUCUAGAAUGCUGUAGAAUGUUGGGAGACACCCAGGAUGUGAGCCAGGGACUUUCUGGAAGUGUUUGUUCUGGCCCCACCCGACCCCAGGCAGUCCCCAGCUGUCUGCACAGUCGGAUGGGGAGGGGGCUUGCACAGAGUUGGAGCCAGAGGAGAGAGCUGGCUCAUCCCCUACGGUAGGAUGGGGAAACCUCACAGACCACAUUGUCACCCGGCCUCAGCUCUCCGCCCCGGCGCUCAGAGGGUAACUCUCACCCACCUCGUCCGCUUCUCUGAACCAGAGUGACCCAGGCUGCGCUCCGCCCCGCUCUCCUACCCCGAGUUGGCACGGAGGUUUUGGGAAUUGUCUUUGCCUGCUGCCUCGUGAAGAGUAUCAGAAGUGGCUACGAGGUGAUGUAGGGGUCUGGUCUCCUCAGCCUCCUCAUCUGGGGGAGUGGAAUAGUAUCCUCCAGGUUUUUCAAUUAAACGGAUUAUUUUUUCAGACCGAAAAGAGAUGGUCUGAGUUUGUCUUAG